Molecule: ribosomal RNA, 632 nt
Filed under: Chaetothyriales sp.
Lineage: Eukaryota; Fungi; Ascomycota; Eurotiomycetes; Chaetothyriales
Description: SSU rRNA
Rfam family: Bacterial small subunit ribosomal RNA (bases 1-536)
Source: RNAcentral
GUCGAUCGACCAYAUUGGGUCUGAAAAAAGCCCACGGCANAUAGUACAGCAGUGGGGUAUAUUGGUCAAUAGCCUAACGGCUGACCCAGCAACUUGGAAGAAUGUAUAAUGAAUAAGUCGUAUAAAGUUCUAGAUAGAAGAAUGAUUAUGACAAUUUUCUAUCUAUAAGUCUUGACCAAAUUACGUGCCAGCAGUCGCGGUAACACGUAGAAGACUAGUGUUAUUCAUCUUUAUUAGGUUUAAAGGGUACCUAGACGGAAAAUCAAGCCAUAAUAGGAACUAAUUUUCUAGAGUUUUAUGAAAGAAGGUGCGAAUUUCCGGAGGAAAGUUGAUAUUUUAUGAUACUGGAAGGACGGGUAACGGCGAAGGCAACCUUCUAUGUAAAAACUGACGUUGAGGGACGAAGCCUUGGGUAACGAAAAGGAUUAGAUACCCUAGUAGUCCUUGGAGAAAAUUAUGAAUGUCAUAGGUUAGAGGGAAAGUGAGUUAAUAGCAGCUUAGUUAUUGUGGUUAUGUAACCGUGCGUACAUUUCAACGGUUCAGAAUACAGAUAACUGAACCUUCAGCAACAAUUAAGACUUGUAUAGCUAUGCUAAACUGUAUUAGAAUUUGGUCUACACAAAUUGCUACUA